AGGGCGGGACACGUGGUAUCCUGUCUGAAUAUGGGGGGACCAUCCUCCAAGGCUAAAUACUCCUGACUGACCGAUAGUGAACCAGUACCGUGAGGGAAAGGCGAAAAGAACCCCGGCGAGGGGAGUGAAAAAGAACCUGAAACCGUGUACGUACAAGCAGUGGGAGCACGCUUAGGCGUGUGACUGCGUACCUUUUGUAUAAUGGGUCAGCGACUUAUAUUCUGUAGCAAGGUUAACCGAAUAGGGGAGCCGAAGGGAAACCGAGUCUUAACUGGGCGUUAAGUUGCAGGGUAUAGACCCGAAACCCGGUGAUCUAGCCAUGGGCAGGUUGAAGGUUGGGUAACACUAACUGGAGGACCGAACCGACUAAUGUUGAAAAAUUAGCGGAUGACUUGUGGCUGGGGGUGAAAGGCCAAUCAAACCGGGAGAUAGCUGGUUCUCCCCGAAAGCUAUUUAGGUAGCGCCUCGUGAAUUCAUCUCCGGGGGUAGAGCACUGUUUCGGCAAGGGGGUCAUCCCGACUUACCAACCCGAUGCAAACUGCGAAUACCGGAGAAUGUUAUCACGGGAGACACACGGCGGGUGCUAACGUCCGUCGUGAAGAGGGAAACAACCCAGACCGCCAGCUAAGGUCCCAAAGUCAUGGUUAAGUGGGAAACGAUGUGGGAAGGCCCAGACAGCCAGGAUGUUGGCUUAGAAGCAGCCAUCAUUUAAAGAAAGCGUAAUAGCUCACUGGUCGAGUCGGCCUGCGCGGAAGAUGUAACGGGGCUAAACCAUGCACCGAAGCUGCGGCAGCGACGCUGAUGCGUUGUUGGGUAGGGGAGCGUUCUGUAAGCCUGUGAAGGUGUGCUGUGAGGCAUGCUGGAGGUAUCAGAAGUGCGAAUGCUGACAUAAGUAACGAUAAAGCGGGUGAAAAGCCCGCUCGCCGGAAGACCAAGGGUUCCUGUCCAACGUUAAUCGGGGCAGGGUGAGUCGACCCCUAAGGCGAGGCCGAAAGGCGUAGUCGAUGGGAAACAGGUUAAUAUUCCUGUACUUGGUGUUACUGCGAAGGGGGGACGGAGAAGGCUAUGUUGGCCGGGCGACGGUUGUCCCGGUUUAAGCGUGUAGGCUGGUUUUCCAGGCAAAUCCGGAAAAC
Molecule: ribosomal RNA, 1133 nt
Filed under: Escherichia coli
Lineage: Bacteria; Pseudomonadati; Pseudomonadota; Gammaproteobacteria; Enterobacterales; Enterobacteriaceae
Description: partial 23S ribosomal RNA
Rfam family: Bacterial large subunit ribosomal RNA
Source: RNAcentral